GUCUACAGCCACACCACCAUGAACACACCAAGUCUCACCUGAUCUUGGAAGCUAAGCAAGGUCGGCCUGGUUAGUACUUGGAUGGGAGAGUUCAAGGCCAGCCU
Molecule: ribosomal RNA, 104 nt
Filed under: Microtus ochrogaster (prairie vole)
Lineage: Eukaryota; Metazoa; Chordata; Mammalia; Rodentia; Cricetidae
Source: RNAcentral